AUUUAUUAUCUUUACACUUAUUUUACCUUAAUCGCUCAUAUUUUUUUAUAUUUUUUUCGCGGCUAUGCAGCAAAAAGCGCCCGUGAGAUUGAGGGUUAUGGUAUCAAUUCGUAAAUCAAUUGAAAAUCAUGAUUUAUUCGUUAAUGAAAGAAAGUUUACGAACAAUUUAAAAAAAAAACGUUUUCUUACAAAAGUAUUUGGACUUUAUAGAGUAAUUGUAAGAUACAUGUAUUGUAUUUUGUACAUAUUUGGUAUUUCAAAUACUCUGUAUUUUGUAAAUCUCUGAAUGUAAAGGCAUUGAUCGUACCAAGAUCUUACCACAGAACACAUUUACAUUGUGAGAAUGCAAUGUUUUUGCGUGCAAGGACUUGGCACCGACCAUCAACAGAAGGCGUGACUCAAAAACAUUAAAACCAAUAACAAACCAGAUAUCUAAGAAUCAAUCUUAUAAACAUGUGAGAGUUUUAUGAUUAACAGCAAAUGUGAAAAAGCCUCGUGAAACGCUGAUAGCUGAUAAAUUGAAAUAGUGGGGUCAUUUCAUUUUCUCGAUGUUAAUAAACUGCGACUGCAUGUCCCCUGCCCGGUUCCUUAUCGCACUCUCAGUACUGUUGUUUGUGUCCGCUGAUAACACCGCCCGGGUGUCAUAUCACAUACUGUUAUUGCGCACCAAAAGUUCUUGCCGUCAACUCACAUAUGUCCCCACGCGAGGGACUCUGAAUUAAAUACUACCGCAAUUUAAGGGUGACUAGACUUCAGGUAUGUCUUUAAAUUUCUUUGCCGAUCUGUAAAAACUGCAUCAUGUUUACCUUCACCGUAUGAAUGACUGAUAAAUGUUUACAUUAAAUUCGAAAAACAUAUUUAUAAUUGACGGAAUCGAAUCUGGAUGUAUUAAUUACGAUUCGCUCUUACCAGGCGCUCGCACAACUGUCCCAUCGUUCUUUUAUAUUAAUGGCAUUCCGCAGAGGACAGCAAAUUAAUAUAAAGGCCAAUAAAUUAAAGCCCCAUCACACAUGUGGUUACUUUAUUCUACUAUGUAAUACCAUUAAAUAAAUAAAGUAACUAGCUAACGUUCGAAAUGUAUAGCAGGAUCUCCAAAGGGUACAAGUAAAAUGUCUGUUUAGUAAAGAAAUAAGAAACACUGUUAUUCUAGAGAUUGUUCGCAUUCGUAAAUCAAUUAUCAUUCAUCGGAGCUCGGAGUGGAGGUUACGUUGCGCUCUGUAGUUUGUGUCAGGAGACCAUCAUCUCUUGCCAUCAGCGGAAAGUCUUGUUAUUGCAAAGUGAAUAAUAAGAUUGUAGCACAAUCAAAUUGUUAUUGAUUUUUAGAUAUUACGCUGAGUAGCAACUUUUAUUCAAUUUAAUAUUUUUAAAGGGCAUUUAUGUUUGAAUUGUUAUUAUUGCGACAUAAAAUUUCAAUAUGUCCACAAAAUAAGCCAUUUGUGGUGUCUUGCGUUACGACCAGCGCUUGCGCAUGUUCUCAUGUUGCGGUGCGAGCGAGACCAUCUCUUGCCAUCUCCGUCGCACAUCCGCGUUGCAAACCACAACUCAACCAGUCGAAUGCUAAAUUGCUAGUCGCUUUUGCUUCGCUGGUAGUUGCUAAAUAGUGUAUGACAUUUGUGGUUGCGUCAAGUUUCGUGGCAAAUUCGUGUUUAGGGAACUGUGUUUGUGAUGUUUGUUUGAAAGAGGAUAAUAUUAUUGUUGCGGCGUACUGACUGUGGAGUGUUUGGACGAGCUGUCGCCCGCAAACUUCGUUACUGCGCAGAUUCCGAAUCUCAUAUUGUGUUCGAGUAGUAAGUAUAUUUGGCCGCAUGCGUCUUGUAUUAAGAUGUAUUCUGAGCACGGAGCAUCUCAAUAUUGAGUACAUAUCAAAGAGAUGGUGAAUGUUUGACGUCAGCGGCCGCCUAUAGCUGACCGCUGUUCUCUUCAGAGCAGUGGGACAGCAUCCCUGUGUAAACAAUGUCGCGACUUGAGUCCUGGCAAUGCUGCUAUUAGCACUCUCAAUUAGUUCUAUCGCCGUACAAAUGCAGCUCCUAAAACUAUAAAAAUACAACUGA
Papilio polytes (common Mormon) is the source of this 2051-nucleotide long non-coding RNA. RefSeq lists it as uncharacterized. NCBI's taxonomy places the organism in Eukaryota, Metazoa, Arthropoda, Insecta, Lepidoptera, Papilionidae. The transcript has 3 exons. The record is from RefSeq and is a predicted model, not a curated record.